UGCAGCGAUAUCACGUUGAAACACUGGUUUUAGUACGAUCACCGAAGUUAAGCAAAGUUGAGCCUGGUCAGUACCUAGAUGAGUGAUCAUUUGUGAAUACCUG
This is a non-coding RNA of Acanthosepion pharaonis, 103 nucleotides long. The record is from the annotation of a GenBank genome assembly. Lineage: Eukaryota; Metazoa; Mollusca; Cephalopoda; Sepiida; Sepiidae.